Molecule: ribosomal RNA, 253 nt
Filed under: uncultured bacterium
Lineage: Bacteria
Description: partial 16S ribosomal RNA
Rfam family: Bacterial small subunit ribosomal RNA
Source: RNAcentral
UACAGAGGGGGCAAGCGUUAUUCGGAAUUAUUGGGCGUAAAGGGCGCGUAGGCGGCUUUGCAAGUGGCGGGUGAAAUCCCUCGGCUUAACCGAGGAACUGCCUGCCAGACUGUGAGGCUUGAGACCGGGAGAGGUGAGUGGAAUUCCCAGUGUAGCGGUGAAAUGCGUAGAUAUUGGGAGGAACACCAGUGGCGAAGGCGGCAUCCUGGACCGGUAUUGACACUGAGGCGCGAAAGCCAGGGGAGCAAACGGG